Molecule: ribosomal RNA, 433 nt
Filed under: uncultured bacterium
Lineage: Bacteria
Description: partial 16S ribosomal RNA
Rfam family: Bacterial small subunit ribosomal RNA
Source: RNAcentral
AACGAACGCUGGCGGCAUGCCUAACACAUGCAAGUCGAACGAGACCUUCGGGUCUAGUGGCGCACGGGUGCGUAACGCGUGGGAACCUGCCCUUAGGUUCGGAAUAACUCCCCGAAAGGGGUGCUAAUACCGGAUAAUGACUUCGGACCAAAGAUUUAUCGCCUUUGGAUGGGCCCGCGUUGGAUUAGCUAGUUGGUAGGGUAAAAGCCUACCAAGGCGACGAUCCAUAGCUGGUCUGAGAGGAUGAUCAGCCACACUGGGACUGAGACACGGCCCAGACUCCUACGGGAGGCAGCAGUGGGGAAUAUUGGACAAUGGGCGAAAGCCUGAUCCAGCAAUGCCGCGUGAGUGAUGAAGGCCUUAGGGUUGUAAAGCGCUUUUACCCGGGAUGAUAAUGACAGUACCGGGAGAAUAAGCUCCGGCUAACUCCGUG